UGCUAAUUUACAAAGAAAGAGCGCCUUGAUGUAUUUCCUGUACGUUCCCACGCGAAACGCGAGAGAACCAAAUCCCACAAUAAAGGCUUUCUGGUGAUGUGUUAGGCACGAGCUGUUUUACAUAAUAAGACACAAUUUCAACUCAGCCAGGAGCCGAGGGCUUCAAACUACAGUUUCUAGGAUAAGUGGAGGGAACUCAGAAAAGGCAUGAGAUGAGAAGUCAGCAGAUGAAGGGGAAAUGCUCAGAGGGAUGGAGCUCCCAGAGAAAUGAGCAUUCAGAAACUGGCACCGAGGUGCAGCUCUGAUAAAAGUUUUCUGUUUCCCUGUGACUCAUUUGACAUUAACAUAAUUAUGCUACAGGAGUCAAAGUGAUUUUCCAACUAUGAGUAAUGCACAGCACUAGACCGAAUGUUUACAGGACACCGAGGCAUAUCAGCCAGCUGAAGUAACCAGCUGCUGAUAACAGCUGAAGUAAG
Long non-coding RNA from Passer domesticus (house sparrow), 476 nucleotides. RefSeq lists it as uncharacterized. NCBI's taxonomy places the organism in Eukaryota, Metazoa, Chordata, Aves, Passeriformes, Passeridae. The transcript has 3 exons. The record is from RefSeq and is a predicted model, not a curated record.